RNAcentral lists this ribosomal RNA (392 nucleotides) under uncultured bacterium. RNAcentral describes it as "partial 16S ribosomal RNA". It matches the Rfam family "Bacterial small subunit ribosomal RNA", at positions 523 to 918 of the family's 1533-position model. The record is from RNAcentral.
AUACGGAAGGUCCGGGCGUUAUCCGGAUUUAUUGGGUUUAAAGGGAGCGCAGGCGGAGAUGCAAGCGUGACGUCAAAUUUCGGGGCUCAACCCCGUCUCGCGUCGCGAACUGCGUCCCUUGGUUGCGGGAGGGGGAGGCGGAACUCGUGGGGUAGCGGUGAAAUGCAUAGAUAUCACGAAGAACUCCGAUCGCGAAGGCAGCCUUCCGGCCCGUCAACGACGCUCAUGCUCGAAGGUGGGGUAUCAAACAGGAUUAGAUACCCUGGUAGUCCGCACAGUAAACGAUGGACACCCGCGGUUUGGCCUAUAUGGCUGAGCCGCCAAGCGAAAGCGUUAAGUGUCCCACCUGGGGAGUACGCCGGCAACGGUGAAACUCAAAGGAAUUGACGGGG